GGAUAUGUGGGUGAUCUGGCUGUGACAUCUGUCACCACAUUGAUCACCAGGGUUGAUUUGGCUGAUGUGGCUGGAUAGGCAGGUGACCUCUUACUCCCUCACUACUCCAUGUGCAUGUCUCCCAAAGCUGUGCAAAUAGAGAAGGACCAGUCUUCGGUCAAGGGUAUACAAGUAGUUGCACUCCCCUGCUAGAACCUCCAAACAAGCUCUCAAGAAAUGGAAGAUCUCAACUAGUUGAUUAAGCUUAAUGACGACUUGAUUAAAUGCAAGAAUGA
This 275-nucleotide small nuclear RNA is filed under the name Jaculus jaculus (lesser Egyptian jerboa). RNAcentral describes it as "7SK RNA (ENSJJAG00000004722.1)". It matches the Rfam family "7SK RNA". Rfam says of the family: 7SK was discovered as an abundant small nuclear RNA in the mid-70s but a possible function has only recently been suggested. Two independent studies have found that 7SK RNA binds the CDK9/cyclin T complex (known as elongation factor P-TEFb). P-TEFb activates transcription by phosphorylating the C-terminal domain of RNA polymerase II. Lineage: Eukaryota; Metazoa; Chordata; Mammalia; Rodentia; Dipodidae. The record is from Rfam by way of RNAcentral.